GAUGAACGCUAGCUACAGGCUUAACACAUGCAAGUCGAGGGGAAACGGCAUUAAGUGCUUGCACUUUUUGGACGUCGACCGGCGCACGGGUGAGUAACGCGUAUCCCACCUUCCCAUGACUAAGGGAUAACCUGCCGAAAGGCAGACUAAUACCUUAUGGUCUUCACUGACGGCAUCAGAUGUGAAGUAAAGAUUUAUCGGUUAUGGAUGGGGAUGCGUCUGAUUAGCUUGUUGGCGGGGUAACGGCCCACCAAGGCAACGAUCAGUAGGGGUUCUGAGAGGAAGGUCCCCCACAUUGGAACUGAGAAACGGUCCAAACUCCUACGGGAGGCAGCAGUGAGGAAUAUUGGUCAAUGGGAGAGAGCCUGAACCAGCCAAGUAGCGUGCAGGAAGACGGCCCUAGGGGUUGUAAACUGCUUUUGUAUGGGGAUAAAGUCAAUCACGUGUGAUUGUUUGCAGGUACCAUACGAAUAAGGACCGGCUAAUUCCGUG
Molecule: ribosomal RNA, 492 nt
Filed under: uncultured bacterium
Lineage: Bacteria
Description: partial 16S ribosomal RNA
Rfam family: Bacterial small subunit ribosomal RNA
Source: RNAcentral